AAUCGAAUACCUUCCACCUCAAGCUUUCAAGUCGGGUUCACCACUUAUGUCGUAUUACGUGCUUUUCUGCUCGAGAACGCGUCGGACGUAUGGCUGUAGAAGGUAGUAUGGAGAUUCGCCAAUAUUCAAGCAGUUUAUCGGUUUUUGACUAUUGGAAUACAAACAACUGCAAGAAUAUACCGUAAAUCUAUACGGAUGCCCUUCGACUACUUGUCAAAGUCCUUUUUACCCAAGCUGGUAGGUCUCUAGACGUUAUAGAGAACCCCGAACAACCCAAACUGCUAAUCUUCGAUACCGCUUUAUACUCACGAUCUUGUAUCCACUGA
Molecule: long non-coding RNA, 326 nt
Filed under: Physcomitrium patens
Lineage: Eukaryota; Viridiplantae; Streptophyta; Bryopsida; Funariales; Funariaceae
Description: long non-coding RNA (PPAT_LNC012105)
Source: RNAcentral